UGGGGAAUAUUGGACAAUGGGCGAAAGCCUGAUCCAGCCAUGCCGCGUGUGUGAAGAAGGUCUUCGGAUUGUAAAGCACUUUAAGUUGGGAGGAAGGGCAUUAACCUAAUACGUUAGUGUUUUGACGUUACCGACAGAAUAAGCACCGGCUAACUCUGUGCCAGCAGCCGCGGUAAUACAGAGGGUGCAAGCGUUAAUCGGAAUUACUGGGCGUAAAGCGCGCGUAGGUGGUUUGUUAAGUUGGAUGUGAAAGCCCCGGGCUAAACCUGGGAACUGCAUCCGAAACUGGCAAGCUAGAGUACGGUAGAGGGUGGUGGAAUUUCCUGUGUAGCGGUGAAAUGCGUAGAUAUAGGAAGGAACACCAGUGGCGAAGGCGACCACCUGGACUGAUACUGACACUGAGGUGCGAAAGCGUGGGGAGCAAACA
Molecule: ribosomal RNA, 427 nt
Filed under: uncultured bacterium
Lineage: Bacteria
Description: partial 16S ribosomal RNA
Rfam family: Bacterial small subunit ribosomal RNA
Source: RNAcentral